GAGCUCGCUUUGGCAGCACAUGUACUAUAAUUGGAACUACACCGAGAAGAUUAGUAUGGCCACUGUUCAAGGAUGACCUACAAAUUCAUGAAGUAUUUCAUAUGUUU
Molecule: small nuclear RNA, 107 nt
Organism: Sorex fumeus (smoky shrew)
Lineage: Eukaryota; Metazoa; Chordata; Mammalia; Eulipotyphla; Soricidae
Source: RefSeq, a predicted model, not a curated record